Molecule: ribosomal RNA, 208 nt
Filed under: uncultured bacterium
Lineage: Bacteria
Description: partial 16S ribosomal RNA
Rfam family: Bacterial small subunit ribosomal RNA
Source: RNAcentral
GACGAACCCAUGCAAACGUUAUUCGGAUUCACUGGGCUUAAAGCGUGCGUAGGCGGUCUUGUUAGUCAGGUGUGAAAGCCUCAGCCCAACCUGAGGAAUUGCGCUUGAUACUGCAUGACUUGAGAAUGAUAGAGGUGGGUGGAACUGAUGGUGGAGCGGUGAAAUGCGUUGAUAUCAUCAGGAACACCAGUGGCGAAGGCGACCCACU